UGGGGAAUCUUCCGCAAUGGACGAAAGUCUGACGGAGCAACGCCGCGUGAGUGAAGAAGGUUUUCGGAUCGUAAAACUCUGUCUUUUGGGGCGAACGUGAGUAUGGUGAACAAUCAUAGUCAGUGACGGUACCAAAGGAGGAAGCCACGGCUAACUACGUGCCAGCAGCCGCGGUAAUACGUAGGUGGCAAGCGUUGUCCGGAAUUAUUGGGCGUAAAGAGCGCGUAGGCGGGAUAGUCAGUCUGUUGUAAAGUGCGGGGCUCAACCCCGUGAUGGCAAUGGAAACAGCUAUUCUUGAGUGCAGGAGAGGAAAGUGGAAUUCCCAGUGUAGCGGUGAAAUGCGUAGAUAUUGGGAGGAACACCAGUGGCGAAGGCGACUUUCUGGACUGUGUCUGACGCUGAGGCGCGAAAGCCAGGGGGAGCGAACCGGGGAUUAGAUACCCCCGGUAGUCCUGGCCGUAAACGAUGGGUACUAGGUGUGGGAGGUAUCGACCCCCUUCCGUGCCGGAGUUAACGCAAUAAGUACCCCCGCCUGGGGAGUACGGUCGCAAGACCUGAAACUCAAAUGAAUUACGGGGGUCAUAGCUGUUUCCU
Molecule: ribosomal RNA, 594 nt
Filed under: uncultured bacterium
Lineage: Bacteria
Description: partial 16S ribosomal RNA
Rfam family: Bacterial small subunit ribosomal RNA
Source: RNAcentral